This 255-nucleotide ribosomal RNA is filed under the name uncultured bacterium. RNAcentral's name for it is "partial 16S ribosomal RNA". It matches the Rfam family "Bacterial small subunit ribosomal RNA", at positions 524 to 776 of the family's 1533-position model. The record is from RNAcentral.
UACGUAGGGGGCUAGCGUUGUCCGGAUUUAUUGGGCGUAAAGAGCGUGUAGGCGGCCAGGUAGGUCUGCUGUGAAAACUCGAGGCUCAACCUCGAGACGUCGGCGGAAACCAUCUGGCUAGAGUCCGGAAGAGGAGAGUGGAAUUCCUGGUGUAGCGGUGAAAUGCGCAGAUAUCAGGAAGAACACCCGUGGCGAAGGCGGCUCUCUGGGACGGUACUGACGCUGAGACGCGAAAAGCGUGGGGGAGCGAACAGG